RNAcentral lists this Y RNA (112 nucleotides) under Prolemur simus (greater bamboo lemur). RNAcentral's name for it is "Y RNA (ENSPSMG00000025255.1)". It matches the Rfam family "Y RNA". From Rfam's summary of the family: Y RNAs are components of the Ro ribonucleoprotein particle (Ro RNP), in association with Ro60 and La proteins. The Y RNAs and Ro60 and La proteins are well conserved, but the function of the Ro RNP is not known. In humans the RNA component can be one of four small RNAs -- hY1, hY3, hY4 and hY5. The record is from Rfam by way of RNAcentral. Lineage: Eukaryota; Metazoa; Chordata; Mammalia; Primates; Lemuridae.
AGCUGGUCCAAAGGUAGUGAGUUAUCUGGCUUGAUUGUUCACAGUCCGUUACAGAUUGAAAUACUUGUUCUACUCUUCCCCACUUCUCACUGUUGUGCUUGACUUGUCAACA